CACGACGACGAAGAAGACGACGACGACCACCAAACUCAUCAUCACUG
RNAcentral lists this small RNA (47 nucleotides) under Arabidopsis thaliana (thale cress). Its description in RNAcentral is "ATSL109050". The record is from RNAcentral. Lineage: Eukaryota; Viridiplantae; Streptophyta; Magnoliopsida; Brassicales; Brassicaceae.